UACGUAGGUGGCAAGCGUUGUCCGGAUUUACUGGGUGUAGAGGGCGUGCAGCCGGAGAGACAAGUCAGUUGUGAAAUCCACGGGCUCAACCCGUGAACUGCAUUUGAAACUGUUUCCCUUGAGUGUCGGAGAGGUAAUCGGAAUUCCUUGUGUAGCGGUGAAAUGCGUAGAUAUAAGGAAGAACACCAGUGGCGAAGGCGGAUUACUGGACGAUAACUGACGGUGAGGCGCGAAAGCGUGGGGAGCAAACAGG
Molecule: ribosomal RNA, 253 nt
Filed under: uncultured bacterium
Lineage: Bacteria
Description: partial 16S ribosomal RNA
Rfam family: Bacterial small subunit ribosomal RNA
Source: RNAcentral